This 301-nucleotide ribosomal RNA is filed under the name uncultured bacterium. RNAcentral describes it as "partial 16S ribosomal RNA". It matches the Rfam family "Bacterial small subunit ribosomal RNA", at positions 509 to 807 of the family's 1533-position model. The record is from RNAcentral.
CAGUCGCCGCGGGAAUACAGAGGGUGCGAGCGUUAAUCGGAUUUACUGGGCGUAAAGCGUACGUAGGCGGCUUCUUAAGUCGGAUGUGAAAUCCCUGAGCUUAACUUAGGAAUUGCAUUCGAUACUGGGAAGCUAGAGUAUGGGAGAGGAUGGUAGAAUUCCAGGUGUAGCGGUGAAAUGCGUAGAGAUCUGGAGGAAUACCGAUGGCGAAGGCAGCCAUCUGGCCUAAUACUGACGCUGAGGUACGAAAGCAUGGGGAGCAAACAGGAUUAGAUACCCCAGUAGUCCCUGUCUCUUAUAC